AGGGGUAUAGCUCAGUGGUGGAGUGGGUGCUCAGCAUGCAUGAGGGCCUGGGUUCAAUCCCUAGUGCCUUCA
RNAcentral lists this transfer RNA (72 nucleotides) under Camelus ferus (Wild Bactrian camel). It matches the Rfam family "tRNA". Rfam says of the family: Transfer RNA (tRNA) molecules are approximately 80 nucleotides in length. Their secondary structure includes four short double-helical elements and three loops (D, anti-codon, and T loops). Further hydrogen bonds mediate the characteristic L-shaped molecular structure. tRNAs have two regions of fundamental functional importance: the anti-codon, which is responsible for specific mRNA codon recognition, and the 3' end, to which the tRNAs corresponding amino acid is attached (by aminoacyl-tRNA synthetases). tRNAs cope with the degeneracy of the genetic code in two manners: having more than one tRNA (with a specific anti-codon) for a particular amino acid; and 'wobble' base-pairing, i.e. permitting non-standard base-pairing at the 3rd anti-codon position. Lineage: Eukaryota; Metazoa; Chordata; Mammalia; Artiodactyla; Camelidae. The record is from Rfam by way of RNAcentral.